RNAcentral lists this ribosomal RNA (504 nucleotides) under uncultured bacterium. RNAcentral's name for it is "partial 16S ribosomal RNA". It matches the Rfam family "Bacterial small subunit ribosomal RNA", at positions 28 to 506 of the family's 1533-position model. The record is from RNAcentral.
GACGAACGCUGGCGGCGUGCCUAAUACAUGCAAGUAGAACGCACAGUUUAUACCGUAGCUUGCUACACCAUAGACUGUGAGUUGCGAACGGGUGAGUAACGCGUAGGUAACCUGCCUGGUAGCGGGGGAUAACUAUUGGAAACGAUAGCUAAUACCGCAUAAUAUUAAUUAUUGCAUGAUAAUUAAUUGAAAGGUGCAAUUGCACCACUACCAGAUGGACCUGCGUUGUAUUAGCUAGUAGGUGAGGUAACGGCUCGCCUAGGCGACGAUACAUAGCCGACCGGAGAGGGUGAUCGGCCACACUGGGACUGAGACACGGCCCAGACUCCUACGGGGGGCAGCAGUGGGGAAUCUUCGGCAAUGGACGAAAGUCUGACCGAGAAACGCCGCGGGGGGGAAGAAGGUUUUCGGAUCGGAAAGCUCUGUUGUAAGGGAAAAACGGGGGUGAGAGGGGAAAGUUCCAACGGGGGCGGUUUUUUCCCAAAAAGGGACGGCUAAUUACGU